RNAcentral lists this ribosomal RNA (389 nucleotides) under Bacillus sp. 115-3.2-LH-A-56. RNAcentral describes it as "bacterial SSU rRNA". It matches the Rfam family "Bacterial small subunit ribosomal RNA", at positions 51 to 415 of the family's 1533-position model. The record is from RNAcentral. Lineage: Bacteria; Bacillati; Bacillota; Bacilli; Caryophanales; Bacillaceae.
AUACAUCAAGUCGAGCGCAGGAAGCUUUUCUGAUCCCUUCGGGGUGAAGAAGAGUGGAAUGAGCGGCGGACGGGUGAGUAACACGUGGGCAACCUACCUGUAAGAUCGGGAUAACUCGCGGAAACGUGAGCUAAUACCGGAUAACACUUUUCACCUCAUGGUGAGAAGAUGAAAGGCGGCGCAAGCUGUCACUUACAGAUGGGCCCGCGGCGCAUUAGCUAGUUGGUGAGGUAAUGGCUCACCAAGGCAACGAUGCGUAGCCGACCUGAGAGGGUGAUCGGCCACACUGGGACUGAGACACGGCCCAGACUCCUACGGGAGGCAGCAGUAGGGAAUCUUCCGCAAUGGACGAAAGUCUGACGGAGCAACGCCGCGUGAGUGAUGAAGCU